AAGUUGCAUGUUAAUCUUCUUCUCCCCGAAACCAAAAGAAAGGAAAAGGGUUAUGGAAGCUUGAACUUUCAGCCAAAUUUAGAUCGCCAAUUUGUGAAACGUGUCUAGCCGAUCGUCGAGCUCAUGUGAGUAGCAUCGUGUAGCUUAUAUUCCGACCCACAGCUCGUGUGAGCAGGCCUAUUUCACAGCUCGUGUGAACAAUGAUGUAAAGGAAAUGUUAUGAUUAUAUGUAAAGGCACACUUUGUAUAAGCUUUCCCGAGUAUCUGAGUAAUUCUAAAUGGUUCAACGGGCAAAAAAAUAAAGAAUGGAAAUAUUAUCGGAAGUUCAAUCAAUUUGGAAGCUCAUCGGAGAUCUAUCACACUAUCCAGAAAUCUUUUUAGUAGUUUUUGAGUAUUUUGGCUAAGGUUUAUAAUGGCAUGUAUAUGAUGAUUUGUAAUGGUAUUUUUAUGAAUGUUUGGUUGAUGUUUUGGCAUGUAUAAGUUUUGAAAGUUAAGUUCGUUUGGUUCCGUUUGAUGCCUUGUUAAAUUGUGUCAAUUUGGUUACCUUACUAUGAAUGUUUGUAUGGCUCAUUGUGGUAUGUUUGGAAUGGUAUGAUAAUGGUCAAAAUUAUGGCAUGUUUUGGUAA
Molecule: long non-coding RNA, 626 nt
Organism: Gossypium arboreum
Lineage: Eukaryota; Viridiplantae; Streptophyta; Magnoliopsida; Malvales; Malvaceae
Exons: 4
Source: RefSeq, a predicted model, not a curated record